GUGUUCACUCCAAUAGCACAUAUACUGAAAUUUGAACUAUACCAAAAAGAUUAACAUGAUCCCUGUGCAAGAAUUGUGGAGACCAUUCAGAAAAAGAAAAAAAGAUU
Molecule: small nuclear RNA, 107 nt
Organism: Cynocephalus volans (Philippine flying lemur)
Lineage: Eukaryota; Metazoa; Chordata; Mammalia; Dermoptera; Cynocephalidae
Source: RefSeq, a predicted model, not a curated record